This 477-nucleotide ribosomal RNA is filed under the name uncultured bacterium. RNAcentral describes it as "partial 16S ribosomal RNA". It matches the Rfam family "Bacterial small subunit ribosomal RNA", at positions 28 to 507 of the family's 1533-position model. The record is from RNAcentral.
GAUUAACGCUGGCGGCGUGCAUAACACAUGCAAGUCGAACGAUGAAACUUUAAUGAACCCUUCGGGGAGAAUUAAAGCGGAUUAUUGGCGAACGGGUGAGUAACGCUUGAGUAACCUGCCUUACACAAGGGGAUAGCCUUUGGACACGAAGAAUAAUACCCUAUAAAACCAUAAAAGCACAUGCAAUUAUGGUCAAAGUGAUAGCGGUGUAAGAUGGACUUGCGUCUGAUUAGCUAGUUGGUGAGAUAAAAGCCCACCAAGGCAACGAUCAGUAGCCGGCUUGAAAAAAUGUACGGGCACAUUGGGACUGGGACACGGCCCAGACUCCUACGAGAGGCAGCAGUGGGGAAUUUUGCACAAUGGGGGAAACCCGGAUGCAGCGACGCCGCGUGAUUUAGAAGGCCUUCGGGUUGUAAAAAGCUUUUGUAUAGGAAGAAAAUGACAGUACUAUACGAAUAAGGUCCGGCUAAUUACGUG